RNAcentral lists this ribosomal RNA (253 nucleotides) under uncultured bacterium. RNAcentral's name for it is "partial 16S ribosomal RNA". It matches the Rfam family "Bacterial small subunit ribosomal RNA", at positions 524 to 776 of the family's 1533-position model. The record is from RNAcentral.
UACGUAGGUGGCAAGCGUUGUUCGGAAUUAUUGGGCGUAAAGGGCGCGUAGGCGGCAUGUUAAGUCGGCUGUGAAAGCCUGGGGCUCAACCCCAGAGGGUCGGCCGAUACUGGCAAGCUAGAGUACGGAAGAGGUAGCUGGAAUUCCCGGUGUAGCGGUGAAAUGCGUAGAUAUUGGGAAGAACACCGGAGGCGAAGGCGGGUUGCUGGGCCGACACUGACGCUGAGGAGCGAAAGCCAGGGGAGCAAACGGG